GCUGGCGGCGUGCCUAACACAUGCAAGUCGAACGAGAAAGUGGAGCAAUCCAUGAGUAAAGUGGCGACCGGGUGAGUAACACGUGACUAACCUACCCUCGAGUGGGGAAUAACUCCGGGAAACCGGGGCUAAUACCGCAUAACAUCGCAAGAUCAAAGCAGCAAUGCGCUUGAGGAGGGGGUCGCGGCUGAUUAGCUAGUUGGCGGGGUAACGGCCCACCAAGGCGAAGAUCGGUAUCCGGCCUGAGAGGGCGCACGGACACACUGGAACUGAAACACGGUCCAGACUCCUACGGGAGGCAGCAGUGGGGAAUUUUGCGCAAUGGGGGAAACCCUGACGCAGCAACGCCGCGUGGAGGAUGAAGCCCUUUGGGGCGUAAACUCCUUUCGACUCGGACGAUAAUGACGGUACGAGUGGAAGAAGCACCGGCUAACUCUGUGCCAGCAGCCGCGGUAAUACAGAGGGUGCGAGCGUUGUUCGGAAUUAUUGGGCGUAAAGGGCGCGUANGCGGUGCGGUAAGUCACCUGUGAAAUCUCCUGGCUUAACUGGGA
Molecule: ribosomal RNA, 551 nt
Filed under: uncultured bacterium
Lineage: Bacteria
Description: bacterial SSU rRNA
Rfam family: Bacterial small subunit ribosomal RNA
Source: RNAcentral